RNAcentral lists this ribosomal RNA (357 nucleotides) under uncultured bacterium. Its description in RNAcentral is "partial 16S ribosomal RNA". It matches the Rfam family "Bacterial small subunit ribosomal RNA", at positions 338 to 692 of the family's 1533-position model. The record is from RNAcentral.
CCUACGGGGAGCAGCAGUGAGGAAUAUUGGUCAAUGGGCGAGAGCCUGAACCAGCCAAGUCGCGUGAAGGAUGACGGCCCUACGGGUUGUAAACUUCUUUUGUCAGGGCGCAAUUGGGUCCACGCGUGGGCUUAGCGAGAGUACCUGAAGAAAAAGCAUCGGCUAACUCCGUGCCAGCAGCCGCGGUAAUACGGAGGAUGUGAUCGUUAUCCGGAUUUAUUGGGUUUAAAGGGUGCGUAGGCGGAAUAUCACGUCAGCGGUAAAAAUUCGGGGCUCAACCCCGUCGUGCCGGUGAAACUGAUGUUCGUGAGUGGGCGAGAAGUAUGGGGAAGGCGUGGGAUAGCGGUGAACUGCAGA